GUUUGCAACUCAAAGUUUACUUGAACAAGCCCGAUCCCGUCUGAUCUUGGAAGCUAAGCAGGGUCGGGCCUGGUUAGUACUUGGAUGGGAGACCACCUAGGAAGACUAGGUGCUGUAGGUG
Molecule: ribosomal RNA, 121 nt
Filed under: Pteropus vampyrus (large flying fox)
Lineage: Eukaryota; Metazoa; Chordata; Mammalia; Chiroptera; Pteropodidae
Source: RNAcentral